UACGGAAGGCAGCAGUGGGGAAUAUUGCACAAUGGGCGCAAGCCUGAUGCAGCCAUGCCGCGUGUAUGAAGAAGGCCUUCGGGUUGUAAAGUACUUUCAGUCGUGGGAAGGUGUUAAGGUUAAUAACCUUAGCAAUUGACGUUAGCGACAGAAGAAGCACCGGCUAACUCCGUGCCAGCAGCCGCGGUAAUACGGAGGGUGCGAGCGUUAAUCGGAAUUACUGGGCGUAAAGGGCACGCAGGCGGUUAAUUAAGUUGGAUGUGAAAUCCCGGGCUUAACCUGGGAAUGGCAUUCAAGACUGGUUAGCUAGAGUCUUGUAGAGGGGGUAGAAUUCCAUGUGUAGCGGUGAAAUGCGUAGAGAUGUGGAGGAAUACCGGUGGCGAAGGCGGCCCCUGGACAAAGACUGACGCUCAUGUGCGAAAGCGUGGGGAGCAAACAGGGAUUAGAUACC
Molecule: ribosomal RNA, 451 nt
Filed under: uncultured bacterium
Lineage: Bacteria
Description: bacterial SSU rRNA
Rfam family: Bacterial small subunit ribosomal RNA
Source: RNAcentral